This 404-nucleotide unclassified non-coding RNA is filed under the name soil metagenome. RNAcentral describes it as "partial contains 5.8S ribosomal RNA, internal transcribed spacer 2, and large subunit ribosomal RNA". The stretch from base 1 to 122 matches the Rfam family "5.8S ribosomal RNA", at positions 35 to 154 of the family's 154-position model. The record is from RNAcentral.
GAUGAAGAACGUAGCAAAAUGCGAUACUUGGUGUGAAUUGCAGAAUCCCGUGAACCAUCGAGUUUUUGAACGCAAGUUGCGCCCGAAGCCUUUUGGCCGAGGGCACGUCUGCCUGGGCGUCACGCAUCGCGUCGCCCCCCACAAUUCUCCGUAAAGGGAACAUGUGUUUUGGGGGCGGAUAUUGGUCUCCCGUGCUCAUGGCGUGGUUGGCCGAAAUAGGAGUCCUUUCGAUGGACGCACGAACUAGUGGUGGUCGUAAAAACCCUCGUCUUUUGUUUCGUGCUGUUGGUCGCAAGGUAAACUCUUUAAAAACCCCAAUGUGUCGUCUCUUGACGACGCUUCGACCGCGACCCCAGGUCAGGCGGGACUACCCGCUGAGUUUUAGCAUAUCAAUAAGCGGAGGA